RNAcentral lists this small nucleolar RNA (95 nucleotides) under Chinchilla lanigera (long-tailed chinchilla). RNAcentral's name for it is "Small nucleolar RNA SNORA40 (ENSCLAG00000018630.1)". It matches the Rfam family "Small nucleolar RNA SNORA40". From Rfam's summary of the family: The snoRNA ACA 40 belongs to the H/ACA family of snoRNAs and guides the pseudouridylation of 28S rRNA subunit at position U4565. NB This family has a high threshold value to exclude a large number of closely related sequences that do not appear to have conserved H and ACA boxes, and may be pseudogenes. The record is from RNAcentral. Lineage: Eukaryota; Metazoa; Chordata; Mammalia; Rodentia; Chinchillidae.
UGUAACUUAAUGAACAGGUACAAAAAAUCAGUCCUCUUUUGCAACCCAGAACUCAUUGUUUGAUGGGAGGUUUGAUACAUAGAAGAAGGAAAAUC